AUGUGUGGGCGCACCUACUUCGUGCCACAUGCCCAACAACCCAAGCUCAGACCGAUCUCGACCGCGCGCGCUCCGACGACCGCCCAGCCGCCGCCCAGGAACCAAUCGCCGGCGCGCCGCCCCCUCCAUAAGAAUCGCUCAAGAUCGAUAAAGAUCCACGUGAGGUUGCUAAACAACACGGCCCACGAUCUCGAGGUGGACGGCUCGGACACCAACGGCAGCGUGAAGACGAAGAUCAUGGAAAAGGAGGGAGUCCCACCGCAGCAGCAGCUCCUCUUCUUCGCCGAUGAGGGGCUGGAGGAUGCCCGGACGCUCGCGGACCAUGGCAUCGAGGACGGGGCCUCGGUUUGCCUGAUCGCCAUCAACAUGAUGCAGGUUUUGCUGCAUCGUGUUGUGCAGCUGCAUGACACAGCUAGUCGUUUACAUAUGCAACGAUCUAUGGUUCUGUCAGAGAUUAGUACUAUCAUGAUCUGA
Molecule: ribosomal RNA, 474 nt
Filed under: Triticum aestivum (bread wheat)
Lineage: Eukaryota; Viridiplantae; Streptophyta; Magnoliopsida; Poales; Poaceae
Description: partial small subunit ribosomal RNA
Source: RNAcentral